This 221-nucleotide unclassified non-coding RNA is filed under the name soil metagenome. Its description in RNAcentral is "partial contains 5.8S ribosomal RNA, internal transcribed spacer 2, and large subunit ribosomal RNA". The record is from RNAcentral.
AACACUGUUAACCUGCGGUACCUGCGGAAGGAUCAUUACCGAGUUUACAAACUCCCAACCCUUUGUGAACCUUACCAUAUUGUUGCUUCGGCGGGACCGCCCCGGCGCCUUCGGGCCCGGAACCAGGCGCCCGCCGGAGGCCCCAAACUCUUAUGUCUUUAGUGGUUUUCUCCUCUGAGUGACACAUAAACAAAUAAAUAAAAACUUUUAACAAUGGAUCU